AAAGAUUUUAGUUAAACCAUAACAACAGCUUGUCAGACUGUAGUUGCAAUUAAACCAUUGUAGAUCUUA
This 69-nucleotide transfer RNA is filed under the name Ozobranchus jantseanus. RNAcentral describes it as "tRNA-Asp". The record is from RNAcentral. Lineage: Eukaryota; Metazoa; Annelida; Clitellata; Hirudinida; Ozobranchidae.